UAGGGGUGUGUCCAGGGAGAACUAGCACGGUUCAGUAGGGGUGUGUCCAGGGAGAACUAGCACGGUUCAGUAGGGGUGUGUCCAGGGAGAACUAAUGUGGUUCAGUAGGGGUAGUAGGGGUGUGUCCAGGGAGAACUAACAUGGUUCAUAGGGGUGUGUCCAGGGAGAACUAACAUGGUUCAGUAGGGGUGUGUCCAGGGAGAACUAGCACGGUUCAGUAGGGGUGUGUCCAGGGAGAACUAAUGUGGUUCAGUAGGGGUAGUAGGGGUGUGUCCAGGGAGAACUAACAUGGUUCAGUAGGGGUGUGUCCAGGGAGAACUAAUGUGGUUCAGUAGGGGAGUGUCCAGGGAAAACUAGCAUGGUUCAGUAGGGGAGUGUCCAGGGAAAACUAGCAUGGUUCAGUAGGGGUAGUAGGGGUGUGUCCAGGGAGAACUAACAUGGUUCAGUAGGGGUAGUGGGGGUGUGUCCAGGGAGAACUAACAUGGUUCAGUAGGGGUGUGUCCAGGGAGAACUAAUGUGGUUCAGUAGGGGGUAGUGGGGGUGUGUCCAGGGAGAACUAGCAUGGUUCAGUAGGGGUGUGUCCAGGGAGAACUAGCACGGUUCAGUAGGGGUGUGUCCAGGGAGAACUAAUGUGGUUCAGUAGGGGUGUGUCCAGGGAGAACGAACAUGGUUCAGUAGGGGUGCGUCCAGGGAGAACUAGCAUGGUUCAGUAGGGGUGCGUCCAGGGAGAACUAGCGUUGUUUAGUAGGGGUGCGUCCAGGGAGAACUAGCGUUGUUUAGUAGGGGUGUGUCCAGGGAGAACUAGCGUGGUUCAGUAGGGGUGUGUCCAGGGAGAACUAGCAUGGUUCAGUAAGGGUUGUAGGGGUGUGUCCAGGGAGAACUAGCAUGGUUCAGUAGGGGUGUGUCCAGGGAGAACUAGCACGGUUCAGUAGGGGUGUGUCCAGGGAGAACUAGCAUUGUUCAGUAGGGGUGUGUCCAGGGAGAACUAGCAUGGUUCAGUAGGGGUGUGUCCAGGGAGAACUAGCAUGGUUCAGUAGAGGUUAGUAGGGGUGUGUCCAGGGAGAACUAGCACGGUUCAGUAGGGGAGUGUCCAGGGAGAACUAGCACGGUUCAGUAGGGGUGUGUCCAGGGAGAACUAGCAUUGUUCAGUAGGGGUGUGUCCAGGGAGAACUAGCAUGGUUCAGUAGGGGUGUGUCCAGGGAGAACUAGCAUGGUUCAGUAGGGGUGUGUCCAGGGAGAACUAGUAUGGUUCAGUAGGGGCGUGUCCAGGGAGAACUAGCACGGUUCAGUAGGGGAGUGUCCAGGGAGAACUAGCACGGUUCAGUAGGGGUAGUAGGGGCGUGUCCAGGGAGAACUAGCAUGGUUCAGUAGGGGGUAGUGGGGGUGUGUCCAGGGA
Non-coding RNA from Oncorhynchus mykiss (rainbow trout), 1396 nucleotides. The record is from RefSeq and is a predicted model, not a curated record. NCBI's taxonomy places the organism in Eukaryota, Metazoa, Chordata, Actinopteri, Salmoniformes, Salmonidae.